AGAAUCUAUUGCGUCUGCUGUUGGUGAUGUGCAGUUGCAGUUUGCCAAUGGAUUCAGGUGAUCGGAGAGCUCCGCAGAGCAGCGGUGAUUCCUUCUAGCGCAACGUGGAUUUUAUUCGGACGGACAAGUAGGGCGGAUUCGAACGAAGCUAUUGAGAGGUGCCGUGGCGUAAUCGUGAAGCCAAGCCGGCUGCGGCGCCGACGACACAUAGGGCAUUAGUUGAGUUGCGGCAACCCCGGAAUCCUGCGCCAUUGCCAUGGAUCUGGAGGUUUUCAUUGGUAGCGCACAGUUGUAUGUACCACAUUCUUUCCGAGGUCGAAAAAUGGGCUCAGCUCAUACCGGUGUCGCGUUCUUUAAUCCAAAAAAGCAAUCAAACGCAUUUCAUGCAGCACACAAGGGUGUUGGUAGUGCACAUGAGUGAAUGCUUGGAAAUUAUUUGUGUGGUGGUUGUGCUGGAUGUGGUUUCGGAGAUCACCCUGUGUUGCAGGUUGGGGUCAUUGGGACGGUUGUGAAUUGGUUGGAAUCAACGUUUGAAGUGUUUGAUGUUGCCCAGUGGGUUGAACGUCUCCUGGUCGGCGGACAUCGACAUGUAUGUUUAGAAUGUCCGGAGACAUUGGUUGUUCCAAUCCGGGUGUUAAUGUAUAUUAAUUGUAGCAGUGACAUGUAUUUGGCAGCGAGUUGGUUGUUUGGUAGAGUUGUAAGAAUUGGAUUUGGUGUUGGAUGAUGAAAUGGAUGUUGGUUUUAGAUAGAAUAGUAUUUUUGUGCUUUUUCAGUAUUCCCUUUGAUUUUCAUAUUGAAGAAUCACGGUGACAAGAUUAGACUUGCAGAAUGCGUUAUUCUGUCUUCUCCAGGUAUGUAGAACGUAUAUUGAAGCUCGCUUUCCUGCAUGACCGCUUGAUUUUCCUUACCGCUUCAUGGGCAAAAGGGGAUAAUAUGGCUCCACAUAUGGAACAGUGCAGAUCUGUAUGUUUAGGCUUUAGAUGCCUAGACUUAGCAAAUUGAAAGAUGAAAGGUCAAAGGAACCAUCAUUCAACAGCACAAAAUUGCAUUGUGUCUCGUCGAAAUUAUUAUCAUCCUUGUCGGUCACAUGAUGCACAAUCGGGGUUUCAUGAGGCUCCUCGACUGCAUCUUGUAAGGAAGCAAAAUGGCUUUGUCCUCGAGGAGGCACGCAAACUGGUCUGCAAGUGGGUUUACUAACCCAGCAACCAAGCAAUACAUACUGUAUCUUGCCAUCACCAGCAAGCUGUGACGCCUCCAAUUCAUCCUUCGGUUCUGACACAAGCAUCACACUUAUUGUCUCCGGCUUUCUGAAUUGAAAUCUCUCUCAGCCCUGUUAUCACUUGCCGAUCUGCGGCGAGAUGACAAUAAUACAAAAUUAUUCAAACAUCAGCUCGCAUCUCACAAGUGCACUGUCUCGCAUGCAACCGACAGUAAUAGAGAAUUGUUUUGAGCAACGUUUUUAUCCAUCCGUGGAUAUGGUCCGGCCACAAAUCAGUACCCAUUUCAUCCACGAUGUGACCGGAUCCCGAGCACGAGCGGGCUAGGGUUGUUUGCUCUGGUCACCCUCACCACAUGCUAUGUGCUUUGUUGCUUCUGCGCAAGCUAUUCCUUUCGUGUUGUGAUUUUAUAUUUAGGCUCGUGCGACUGGCACCAGCACGUCAGUCGCUUGUGGAGAUUUUGUUGUUCAGAAGAAGGUAUCAUGUAGUGCGAUUCUGAUCCGGGGGGAGGGGUGUGGUACUGAGGAUGUCGUGGGUUGAGCGGACUGCAGUAUGAGUGCAAGUGUUGGAGGAUUCUAGCGUCAAGGCGUUAACUGGAUUUGAAGCAAUAUGGUGAUAACAGCUCUACUUGGCUGAGCUCUCUCGUAGCUCUGCCACUACUUCUUCAAAUCUGAAAAGGCGUCUUGAUGGGCUUUGCGCUGGGAUCGACCAUCAAUGCGGGGUCGGCUAUGGUGGGCUCCGCUGUUGCAAUGGAGUCGCGAGCUGAUACAAGAUCAGUUGUGGCAGGCUCCCCUGUUGCAGUGGAAUCGCCAGCUAAUGCAAGAUCGGCCGUGGCGGGUUGCACUACUGCAAUGGCGUCAAUCUGUGUAUUGUGAUAUUUCAUGGAUUUAGAUUGAGGUAGCUUACUAUGUAUUCUCCCACUCCAUGAUGUAUCAAAAUAUGGUUAUUGUAGAAGGUUUGGUGAUUUUGAGUAGACCAGCAAUGCUUGAAUUAUUGUAGAAUAGGUUUCUUGUUUUGAAUUGAGAGGAAUAGGAUACAUGCCUAAUUGAGAUAGGCAUUGAAAAUGUUUCUCUUUGGGAAGAGAUUUUGUAAAUACAUUUGCUGUCAUAUGUGUUGUUGGCACAUAUUAUAAUUUAAUUUCCUUGGCAAGUAUCUUUUCUCCUA
Physcomitrium patens is the source of this 2381-nucleotide non-coding RNA. The record is from RefSeq and is a predicted model, not a curated record. Lineage: Eukaryota; Viridiplantae; Streptophyta; Bryopsida; Funariales; Funariaceae.